CCUACGGGUGGCAGCAGUGAUGAAUAUUGGUCAAUGGGCGGAAGCCUGAACCAGCCAAGUAGCGUGCAGGAUGACGGCCCUACGGGUUGUAAACUGCUUUUAUACGGGAAUAACGCGCCUUACGUGUAGGGCUUUGCAUGUACCUUAUGAAUAAGGACCGGCUAAUUCCGUGCCAGCAGCCGCGGUAAUACGGAAGGUCCGGGCGUUAUCCGGAUUUAUUGGGUUUAAAGGGAGCGUAGGCCGCAUGUCAAGCGUGCUGUGAAAUGUCCGGGCUCAACCCGGGCCUUGCAGCGCGAACUGGCGUUCUUGAGUAGGCGGAAAGUAGGCGGAAUUCGUCGUGUAGCGGUGAAAUGCUUAGAUAUGACGAAGAACCCCGAUUGCGAAGGCAGCUUGCUGCAGCGGAACUGACGCUGAUGCUCGAAAGCGCGGGUAUCGAACAGGAUUAGAUACCCGGGUAGUC
Molecule: ribosomal RNA, 460 nt
Filed under: uncultured bacterium
Lineage: Bacteria
Description: partial 16S ribosomal RNA
Rfam family: Bacterial small subunit ribosomal RNA
Source: RNAcentral